This 497-nucleotide ribosomal RNA is filed under the name uncultured bacterium. RNAcentral describes it as "partial 16S ribosomal RNA". It matches the Rfam family "Bacterial small subunit ribosomal RNA", at positions 28 to 507 of the family's 1533-position model. The record is from RNAcentral.
GAUGAACGCUGGCGGCGUGCCUAAUACAUGCAAGUCGAGCGAACAGACGAGGAGCUUGCUCCUCUGAUGUUAGCGGCGGACGGGUGAGUAACACGUGGAUAACCUACCUAUAAGACUGGGAUAACUUCGGGAAACCGGAGCUAAUACCGGAUAACAUGUUGAACCGCAUGGUUCAACAGUGAAAGACGGUCUUGCUGUCACCUAUAGAUGGAUCCGCGCCGCAUUAGCUAGUUGGUAAGGUAACGGCUUACCAAGGCAACGAUGCGUAGCCGACCUGAGAGGGUGAUCGGCCACACUGGAACUGAGACACGGUCCAGACUCCUACGGGAGGCAGCAGUAGGGAAUCUUCCGCAAUGGGCGAAAGCCUGACGGAGCAACGCCGCGUGAGUGAAGAAGGUCUUCGGAUCGUAAAACUCUGUUAUUAGGGAAGAACAAAUGUGUAAGUAACUAUGCACGUCUUGACGGUACCUAAUCAGAAAGCCACGGCUAACUACGUG